Molecule: ribosomal RNA, 864 nt
Filed under: Inocybe populea
Lineage: Eukaryota; Fungi; Basidiomycota; Agaricomycetes; Agaricales; Inocybaceae
Description: eukaryotic LSU rRNA
Rfam family: 5.8S ribosomal RNA (bases 309-462)
Source: RNAcentral
UAGAGGAAGUAAAAGUCGUAACAAGGUUUCCGUAGGUGAACCUGCGGAAGGAUCAUUAUUGAAUAAAACUUGAACAGGUCUGUUGCUGGCUCCUCGGGGCAUGUGCACACUUGUCAUUUUUAUUUCAUUUCUCCUCUGUGCACCAACUGUAGGUCUGGAGUUUCUUGAAAUCCUUUGGUUUUUCGAUAGAGGACUGCUGUUCCUUUUGAAAAAGGGUCAGCUUUGCCUCAUGUCUUCCAGAUCUAUGUUUUUCUCUCACAAUCUCUCAAUGUGUUUUGGAAUGUCAAAUUGAUAUAUAUACAAUAUACAACUUUCAGCAACGGAUCUCUUGGCUCUCGCAUCGAUGAAGAACGCAGCGAAAUGCGAUAAGUAAUGUGAAUUGCAGAAUUCAGUGAAUCAUCGAAUCUUUGAACGCAUCUUGCGCUCCUUGGUAUUCUGAGGAGCAUGCCUGUUUGAGUGUCAUUAAGUUCUCGACCACAUUGAUUUGCUUUGAUGUGGAUUGGACAUGGGAUUUGCAGGCCCUUCUUUUUUUUCUAAAAAAAGUCUGCUCUCCUGAAAUACAUUAGUGGUAUCUGAGCAGAGACUACUACAGGUGUGAUAACUAUCUAUGCCUACUGUAGAAUGCUGUAUGAACUGCUUCAAACCCCAAUUUGUUUUUUUGACCAAUUUGACCUCAAAUCAGGUAGGACUACCCGCUGAACUUAAGCAUAUCAAUAAGCGGAGGAAAAGAAACUAACAAGGAUUCCCCUAGUAACUGCGAGUGAAGCGGGAAAAGCUCAAAUUUGAAAUCUGGCGGUUCUUGACUGUCCGAGUUGUAAUCUAGAGAAGUGUUACCCGUGCUGGACCGUGUACAAGUCUCCUGGA